ACAAAUCAAUUCCACCAACAAAUUUAGGAAAUUAUAGCAACAAAUUCAACAAAUCGAUUCCACCAAUAAAUUCAGGAAAUUCCAGCAACAAAUUCGAACAAAUUCAAAAAGUCGAUUCCAGCAACAAAUUUAAGCAAAUCCUAACCAAAUCAAGAAGCGCUAGCUUCUCCUUCAAGCUACUCACGCAGGCAGGGCAUAGGAAGAGCCAGAGUUGCGGAAAACGGCGAGAGGUAGGGCGAGAGCGAGUUCCCGGAAUCUAGACCGGCCGGAGCACUGGCAGUGGACGGGAACUUGUCGGUGGUGGAGAUUGAGGAGAUGAAGGAGGGGAGCGCGUCGAUUGGGAGCGUCUUGGCGAUUUCGAGCUCAGACGAAGGCGAUGAAUUUUGGGAGGCGGCGCCUUAGGGUUUCGAGCUCAGGGGGAGCGACGCGGCGAAAUCAGUGAGGCGGCGACGACGACGAGCUAGCUGCUGCCGGAGAGGUGAAGGGGAAGAUGGGCGUAGGUCGGGUCCUAGCCUCGCCGGAGGAGGAACCACGGCGGCGGGUUUGGUGAGAGAGAAGAGGUGAGAGUGAGAGACGAGAGGUGUGUGAGAAAGGUGAGAG
RNAcentral lists this long non-coding RNA (600 nucleotides) under Salvia miltiorrhiza (redroot sage). RNAcentral describes it as "long non-coding RNA (SMIL_LNC014162)". Lineage: Eukaryota; Viridiplantae; Streptophyta; Magnoliopsida; Lamiales; Lamiaceae. The record is from RNAcentral.